This 135-nucleotide ribosomal RNA is filed under the name Musophaga violacea (violet turaco). RNAcentral's name for it is "partial 16S ribosomal RNA". The record is from RNAcentral. Lineage: Eukaryota; Metazoa; Chordata; Aves; Musophagiformes; Musophagidae.
UGUGACAAACUUUUCCUAGUACGAAAGGGCCGGAAAAGUGAGGCCAAUACCAAUCAAGCACGCCUCAUCUACAAGCAAUGAACCCCACUAAACUGCCAAAGACACCCACACCUACCCUAGUUCUAGAAAAGAACC